GGGCCAGUGGCGCAAUGGAUAACGUGUCUGACAACGGAUCAGAAGAUUCUAGGUUCGACUCCUGGCUGGCUCG
RNAcentral lists this transfer RNA (73 nucleotides) under Salmo salar (Atlantic salmon). It matches the Rfam family "tRNA". Rfam says of the family: Transfer RNA (tRNA) molecules are approximately 80 nucleotides in length. Their secondary structure includes four short double-helical elements and three loops (D, anti-codon, and T loops). Further hydrogen bonds mediate the characteristic L-shaped molecular structure. tRNAs have two regions of fundamental functional importance: the anti-codon, which is responsible for specific mRNA codon recognition, and the 3' end, to which the tRNAs corresponding amino acid is attached (by aminoacyl-tRNA synthetases). tRNAs cope with the degeneracy of the genetic code in two manners: having more than one tRNA (with a specific anti-codon) for a particular amino acid; and 'wobble' base-pairing, i.e. permitting non-standard base-pairing at the 3rd anti-codon position. Lineage: Eukaryota; Metazoa; Chordata; Actinopteri; Salmoniformes; Salmonidae. The record is from Rfam by way of RNAcentral.